UGGGGAAUCUUGCGCAAUGGGCGAAAGCCUGACGCAGCCAUGCCGCGUGAGUGAUGAAGGCCUUAGGGUUGUAAAACUCUUUCACCGGGGACGAUAAUGACGGUACCCGGAGAAGAAGCCCCGGCUAACUUCGUGCCAGCAGCCGCGGUAAUACGAAGGGGGCUAGCGUUGCUCGGAAUUACUGGGCGUAAAGGGCGCGUAGGCGGAUCAGCAAGUUGGGGUGAAAGCCCGGGGCUCACUCGGAAUUGCCUUCAAACUGCUGAUCUAGAGUACGGGAGAGGUGUGUGGAACUCCGAGUGUAGAGGUGAAAUUCGUAGAUAUUCGGAAGAACACCAGUGGCGAAGGCGACACACUGGCCCGUUACUGACACUGAGGCGCGAAAGCGUGGGGAGCAAAACAGGAUUAGAUACCCUGGUAGUCCACGCUGUAAACGAUGAUUGCUAGUUGUCGGCAGGCAUGCCUGUCGGUGACGCAGCUAACGCAUUAAGC
This 489-nucleotide ribosomal RNA is filed under the name uncultured bacterium. Its description in RNAcentral is "partial 16S ribosomal RNA". It matches the Rfam family "Bacterial small subunit ribosomal RNA", at positions 355 to 865 of the family's 1533-position model. The record is from RNAcentral.